GUGAAGAACGUAGCGAAAUGCGAUAAGUAAUGUGAAUUGCAGAAUUUAGUGAAUCAUCGAAUCUUUGAACGCACAUUGCGCCCGCCAGUAUUCUGGCGGGCAUGCCUGUUCGAGCGUCAUUUCAACCCUCAAGCUCAGCUUGGUGUUGGGACUCGCGGUAACCCGCGUUCCCCAAAUCGAUUGGCGGUCACGUCGAGCUUCCAUAGCGUAGUAAUCAUACACCUCGUUACUGGUAAUCGUCGCGGCCACGCCGUAAAACCCCAACUUCUGAAUGUUGACCUCGGAUCAGGUAGGAAUACCCGCUGAACUUAAGCAUAUCAAUAAGCGGAGGA
This 332-nucleotide unclassified non-coding RNA is filed under the name soil metagenome. RNAcentral's name for it is "partial contains 5.8S ribosomal RNA, internal transcribed spacer 2, and large subunit ribosomal RNA". The stretch from base 2 to 119 matches the Rfam family "5.8S ribosomal RNA", at positions 37 to 154 of the family's 154-position model. The record is from RNAcentral.